This 281-nucleotide ribosomal RNA is filed under the name uncultured Staphylococcus sp. RNAcentral's name for it is "partial 16S ribosomal RNA". It matches the Rfam family "Bacterial small subunit ribosomal RNA", at positions 81 to 354 of the family's 1533-position model. Lineage: Bacteria; Bacillati; Bacillota; Bacilli; Caryophanales; Staphylococcaceae. The record is from RNAcentral.
CUCCUUUGACGUUAGCGGCGGACGGGUGAGUAACACGUGGGUAACCUACCUAUAAGACUGGGAUAACUUCGGGAAACCGGAGCUAAUACCGGAUAAUAUUUCGAACCGCAUGGUUCGAUAGUGAAAGAUGGUUUUGCUAUCACUUAUAGAUGGACCCGCGCCGUAUUAGCUAGUUGGUAAGGUAACGGCUUACCAAGGCGACGAUACGUAGCCGACCUGAGAGGGUGAUCGGCCACACUGGAACUGAGACACGGUCCAGACUCCUACGGGAGGCAGCAGGG